Small nucleolar RNA from Plasmodium gallinaceum, 68 nucleotides. RefSeq annotates it as small nucleolar RNA snoR28. NCBI's taxonomy places the organism in Eukaryota, Apicomplexa, Aconoidasida, Haemosporida, Plasmodiidae. The record is from RefSeq and is a predicted model, not a curated record. The transcript has a single exon.
AUUAUGAUGAAAACCAUGAGGAAGUGCCGUCUGAGUUUUUAUGUUGACGAAAAGCAAAAAUUCUGAAU